AUGGCCGCGCAGGCCAGCCCGCUCCGCCGCUGGAAGCGCUUCUUCGGCGCCUUCGACUCCGUCGACGCCGCCAUCGAGGCCGCCGACCCUGACAUGUGCCGCGACGAGGUCCGGGGCGCCAGGGGCGACAUCUUUGAAUGGCUCUGCAACACCGCGGACGACGGCAUGGCGGAGAAGCUCUGCGGGGUUCUCGACGGCUUGAUGGCAGAGUCCCUCGAGACGCUGCGGUUGACUCCGGUGACGCCGAAGGUGCUCGCCACCACGGACCUCGCUAGGGCCAUCCGUGCGCUGCAGAAGCACGAGUCCGAGCGGGUCCGCAUCCUCGCCAGAGGCAUCGUGAGCGGGUGGAGGGCGUCCGCCCUGCACGACUUCGCCGUACAGCAUGUCUGCGCAACGACGACGGAGCGGCCUUCCUCCAAAGAGAUCGUCGGUCACGAUCGGCAGCAUGCCUCGGCCGAUCUUGACUCGAAGAAGAAGAAGAAGACGGCGGAGAUCAGCAGCAAGGCGUCCGAUCUCGUCAGCGGCAUCAACACGGCGAAGCCCAAGGAGGUCACCGUCGGUCGGCAUGUCAUUGUCUCGGCCGAUCCAGACACGAAGGCAAUGGAGGCCGCAAAGCGCAAACUCCAUGAAAGGUACCAGCAAGCAUCGGACGCGAAGCGGCAGCGCAGGGUGCAGGUGGUGGAGUUGCCGGAGAUGCUCAAGCAGAGGCAGCAAAAGAUGCACCCCAUCCUGAGGGAGAGGAACCUGGCUAGUUGCGCGAGCUCCAUGGUCAAGAAGACGUUCUCGGUCACGAGGCAGAUUCACAUGGGCAGUUGA
This 816-nucleotide ribosomal RNA is filed under the name Triticum aestivum (bread wheat). RNAcentral describes it as "partial small subunit ribosomal RNA". Lineage: Eukaryota; Viridiplantae; Streptophyta; Magnoliopsida; Poales; Poaceae. The record is from RNAcentral.